CGUAGAUAGAAAAGGAGAGUAAGAGUUGAAGAAGUCGGAAUGAACAAUUGAAUAAAAUAUCGUCCCAACGUUUCAUAAAUCUGAUUUAUGAAACGUUGGGACGAUAUUUUAUUCAAUUGUUCAUUCCGACUUCUUCAACUCUUACUCUCCUUUUCUAUCUACGG
RNAcentral lists this small RNA (164 nucleotides) under Mytilus galloprovincialis (Mediterranean mussel). The record is from RNAcentral. Lineage: Eukaryota; Metazoa; Mollusca; Bivalvia; Mytilida; Mytilidae.